This 456-nucleotide ribosomal RNA is filed under the name Serratia marcescens. RNAcentral describes it as "bacterial SSU rRNA". It matches the Rfam family "Bacterial small subunit ribosomal RNA", at positions 1 to 453 of the family's 1533-position model. Lineage: Bacteria; Pseudomonadati; Pseudomonadota; Gammaproteobacteria; Enterobacterales; Yersiniaceae. RNAcentral also lists the same sequence under 16 other names. The record is from RNAcentral.
UAAUUGAAGAGUUUGAUCAUGGCUCAGAUUGAACGCUGGCGGCAGGCUUAACACAUGCAAGUCGAGCGGUAGCACAGGGGAGCUUGCUCCCUGGGUGACGAGCGGCGGACGGGUGAGUAAUGUCUGGGAAACUGCCUGAUGGAGGGGGAUAACUACUGGAAACGGUAGCUAAUACCGCAUAACGUCGCAAGACCAAAGAGGGGGACCUUCGGGCCUCUUGCCAUCAGAUGUGCCCAGAUGGGAUUAGCUAGUAGGUGGGGUAAUGGCUCACCUAGGCGACGAUCCCUAGCUGGUCUGAGAGGAUGACCAGCCACACUGGAACUGAGACACGGUCCAGACUCCUACGGGAGGCAGCAGUGGGGAAUAUUGCACAAUGGGCGCAAGCCUGAUGCAGCCAUGCCGCGUGUGUGAAGAAGGCCUUCGGGUUGUAAAGCACUUUCAGCGAGGAGGAAGGUG